CGUAGAGGUAGUUUGUAGUCCUCGGUCUACGACGGACGAACGACUGGCGGGACGUGCCUAAUACAUGCAAGUCGACGGAGAUAUUCGCUGAUGAAGUACUUCGGUAAUGAAUCUUGGUAUAUCUUAGUGGCGGACGGGUGAGUAACGACGUGAGCAACCUGCCUUUCAGAGGGGGAGUAACGUUUGGUAAACGAACGCUAAUACCGCAUGACAUUAUCUUAUCGCAUGGUAGGAUAAUCAAAGGAGCAAUCCGCUGAAAGAUGGGCUCGCGUCCGAUUAGGUAGUUGGUGGGGUAACGGCCCACCAAGCCGACGAUCGGUAGCCGGACUGAGAGGUUGGACGGCCACAUUGGGACUGAGACACGGCCCAGACUCCUACGGGAGGCAGCAGUAAGGGAUAUUGGUCAAUGGGGGAAACCCGUGAACCAGCAACGCCGCGUGAGGGAAGACGGUUUUCGGAUUGUAAACCUCUGUCCUCUGUGAAGAUGAUGACGGUAGCAGAGGAGGAAGCUCCGGCUAACUACGUG
Molecule: ribosomal RNA, 526 nt
Filed under: uncultured Oscillospiraceae bacterium
Lineage: Bacteria; Bacillati; Bacillota; Clostridia; Eubacteriales; Oscillospiraceae
Description: bacterial SSU rRNA
Rfam family: Bacterial small subunit ribosomal RNA
Source: RNAcentral